RNAcentral lists this unclassified non-coding RNA (379 nucleotides) under Hevea brasiliensis (rubber tree). The record is from RNAcentral. Lineage: Eukaryota; Viridiplantae; Streptophyta; Magnoliopsida; Malpighiales; Euphorbiaceae.
UCUGCAGCCAUGUUCAUGUUUAUAUUCAUCAACUGCGGCGCUACCACGCUGCUCACUGGUGGUGGUGAGUCGAUCCCCGAGUACCCUGGUGACCCAGAAGGUGUGCUUUCUUUUUCCUCCAUUAGAAGUGAGUGGUGGAUUGGCCAGCAGAGACACAGAUAAUUGAUUUUUAGGAAUGGAACGGGAAAAAUUGGAAAGUGGAGCUGUGGAGUGAAGUUUGAACAAAGAAAGAGACUGCAAAUGGCGCCAGAUAUAGAAGCUGCAACGUGUGGCUUUUUCUUUAAAAGAAACAAAAUGAAAAGAUGCGUAUGUGAGAGAGAGAUUAAUUUUAUAAACCUUACUCCAUUAAUGGAGGAAGAAAUAAGGGUCUCUGAAAACA